CCUACGGGGUGCAGCAGUGAGGAAUAUUGGUCAAUGGGCGCAAGCCUGAACCAGCCAAGUCGCGUGAGGGAUGACGGUCCUAUGGAUUGUAAACCUCUUUUGUCGGGGAGCAAGGCCCGCCACGGGUGGCGGGAAGGAGAGUACCCGAAGAAAACGCAUCGGCUAACUCCGUGCCAGCAGCCGCGGUAAUACGGAGGAUGCGAGCGUUAUCCGGAUUUAUUGGGUUUAAAGGGUGCGUAGGCGGAAGGUUAAGUCAGCGGUAAAAUGUCGGUGCUCAACACCGGCCUGCCGUUGAAACUGGUCUUCUUGAGUGAGCGAGAAGUAUGCGGAAUGCGUGGUGUAGCGGUGAAAUGCAUAGAUAUCACGCAGAACUCCGAUUGCGAAGGCAGCAUACCGGCGCUCAACUGACGCUGAGGCACGAAAGCGUGGGGAUCGAACAGGAUUAGAUACCCUAGUAGUC
This 460-nucleotide ribosomal RNA is filed under the name uncultured bacterium. Its description in RNAcentral is "partial 16S ribosomal RNA". It matches the Rfam family "Bacterial small subunit ribosomal RNA", at positions 338 to 795 of the family's 1533-position model. The record is from RNAcentral.